RNAcentral lists this transfer RNA (76 nucleotides) under Planctomycetota bacterium. RNAcentral describes it as "tRNA-Thr". It matches the Rfam family "tRNA". Rfam says of the family: Transfer RNA (tRNA) molecules are approximately 80 nucleotides in length. Their secondary structure includes four short double-helical elements and three loops (D, anti-codon, and T loops). Lineage: Bacteria; Pseudomonadati; Planctomycetota. The record is from RNAcentral.
GCUGCUUUAGCUCAGCUGGUAGAGCACCUCCUUGGUAAGGAGGAGGUCGUGGGUUCAAUUCCCGCAAGCAGCUCCA